Molecule: long non-coding RNA, 2260 nt
Filed under: Anthonomus grandis grandis
Lineage: Eukaryota; Metazoa; Arthropoda; Insecta; Coleoptera; Curculionidae
Description: uncharacterized LOC126738982
Source: RNAcentral
CAGUCGGGACGCGUAUUUACAUAGUAUACUACAGCACAGAGCACCAGAGAACUCUGCACUGCAGUAUAAUAUGUAGUUAAGAAAUGCCUUAUUUAUCACUACAUACUACACUACGCUACAGAGCAUUAGAAAAAAAAUGUUUUAUGUGAUUUGUUUGGUGCUGUAAAAUUGGUAGUAAAGUCCAGUUCAGAGAUCUAUUAGAAUCUUUGAUGUGUUGCAGAUGCCGCACUAACUAGUCCGUGCGCCUAUGUCAUAUUUAUUGUUGCAUGAUAUAUAUGUUUAAAUGGCAAAAUUUUAUAUUGUCUAUCUAUGAAAUCAUUUUAAAUAUACGUAAAACCCCAUGUUUUAUACUAUUUUUUAUUUUUUUUUGAAUAUGUAAAUUUUUAGAAAGAAAAUAAUUUAACAAGAAAAUAAUAUCAAAAAAUUGACCGCGGACUAAAAUCCAAGCAUCUUACAAAAUAUUUUAAACACUUCCAGCACUCACAGACUUGUCACCUCUUUUUAGCCAGUCUAUUAAACAAAGAUAAAACACCUGCGUUCAGGCGAUUCCUACUUUAGGCUGUGCAAGUGAUUGUGUAUCUCUCUCUAUCCCACUGAUUUUAAGAAUUACGGGGCCGUACCCAAAUAAAUUUUUGGGCAGUUUUUGUAUUACUUUCCACGUGUUUUUAAAGAGAUCUUUAAGGAUGGGUCUAUCGCCUUUAAAAUAGUUGUUGAAUGGGUCUAUCUCCUUUAAUAGUUGGGAGGGAGGCCAUGUGAGGGUAUUAUUUGAUGUGUUUUGCCGGUUAUGCUUUUUACACGUUUAUAAAAGUAAAGAAUUUAGAAUUUGGCCUGUAUUCGUCUAAAUUUUUUGCAGUUUUUACUGUGAGGAAGUGUGUUUAUUUAUUUGUGUUUGUGGAUUUGUUUUGGUAUUAUACCUAAAGACCUUAAAAUGUUUCGACCCUGGGAAAAUAGGCAGGAAAAUUUGGCAAAUGAAGAGGAAAGUGUUUGUGCGGGCUUAUGGAGACCGUGGGUGUACAAGAAAGACAAUAACAUUUGUGAUCAAAACAAUAAGAGUGAUCUGGACAGUGAUUUAGACUUACAUAGUUCUGAUAGUUCAUUUUCUAGUAUUGAGGAAGCAAAAAGAAGCAAGGGAAGUAGAAGCUACAGAGGAAAUCAAGCAGUUUUAAAACGUAAUUGUUUAAGUACAGACGCCAAACAAAUUUAUCUAUAUAUCUAUAAGAAUCUAAGGAAUGAUCCUCAGUUCACAAAUGAUUGUAGUGCUUUGCAAAAAACAGCGUUUUUAACAGGGGUUCCCUAUAGUACAAUAUGCCUGUAAAAAAAAAGGAUUUAAGACAGAAUAAAAAGGAAAGAUGCAGGACAAUCAAAGAAACUUGACACGGAUAUUGCCAAAUUGCUAAGGAAAGGUGUGUAUUCUAAAUACAAAAACAAUGAGGUUCUGACCAUAGACACACCUUAUCGGCAAAGGACAAACAUUUCUCAGUCUCAACCUUGCGGAGAUACCUGAUAAAACUUGGAUUUAAGCUUAAGAUGGUUAACAAAAGAGCUGCUGUAAUGGAAUUGUCAAGUGGUGUAUAGAAUAUUUGAGGAAAAUUUAAAAAAAUUGGGAGGAAGAAGGAUCCAUAUAUUAUUUAGCCGAAACAUGAUAUGAUACAUUUAUGAUUGAUGUAUGAUUUCUAUUCUCUAGGAAAAAAGUCCCUUUUUUGCCAUAGUAAGAAAACCAUAUUUUUAUUAAUAAAACAAGUUUAAAAUUUUGUUUUUUACAGCUUACUGCCCCUGUUUGUCCUUCAGUGACACAAUAAAGACUGCUUCUUCCACCAGUCUCUGGGAAAAACCCUUUUUUGCUAUGCUUACUACCCCUGUUGUCCUUCAGCGACACAAUGAAGACUGCUUCUUCCUCCAUUCUCUGGAAAAAAGUCCCUUUUUUGACAUGCUUACUGCCCCUGUUUGUCCUUCAGCGACACAAUAAAGUAUAUAUAAUGUAAUGCUUUACUAUCCAUAUGCUGAUGUGCGAGAUGAAGUUGGAAUCCAUGGCGGCAACAGAGAAACUGUUUCCUUCCUUAAUGGAAGAAACUGCUAAAGAACAAUGGCAAAAAAACAGAAUUUAAAAAAUUGUAUUAACUUUUUGGGCCAGAUUCAAAAGAGUGGUUAAAUUUAUAAAAGUAUUUAGUAUCCUCUCUGUAGUUUUAGGAUCCAGUAUACUUAAAAUGUAGUGUUUUGUAUAGGAUUUUUAGUUUUUAGUAAAAGCAUUUAUUUUUGUUAA